ACCAGAACCACUUCAUUAAGCUAUAGUGUCCCUUUAAUGUGAUGUAAAUUAUAGAUUAGUGUCACUAAUAAUAUACUAGAUUGCCUACUUACAAGCAGAUGAGGAUGAUGAUGGGCUGCAGUUUGGCUCCACUGGUCUGGUGUAGAACAGGAUCUCUGGAGGCUGUUUGCAACUGUGGUCACAAAAUUCAGUGUUCUGGGAGAAUUGGAAGCAGCUCAAUUUUUUGGGGACCCUUACACAGCUCAAGGUCUGGGCCCCAGGGCCUGACGGUGAGUAUGCCCAUAAGGCCCACUCAUAAGUUCCACCCACCCAUGAGUUCGCUCACAGGGAGUGGAGUG
Non-coding RNA from Pelobates cultripes (western spadefoot toad), 338 nucleotides. The record is from the annotation of a GenBank genome assembly. Lineage: Eukaryota; Metazoa; Chordata; Amphibia; Anura; Pelobatidae.